RNAcentral lists this unclassified non-coding RNA (342 nucleotides) under soil metagenome. RNAcentral's name for it is "partial contains 5.8S ribosomal RNA, internal transcribed spacer 2, and large subunit ribosomal RNA". The stretch from base 5 to 119 matches the Rfam family "5.8S ribosomal RNA", at positions 40 to 154 of the family's 154-position model. The record is from RNAcentral.
GAUGAGAACGCAGCGAAAUGCGAUAAGUAAUGUGAAUUGCAGAAUUCAGUGAAUCAUCGAAUCUUUGAACGCACAUUGCGCCCGCCAGCAUUCUGGCGGGCAUGCCUGUUCGAGCGUCAUUUCAACCCUCGAGCCCCCCCGGGGGCCUCGGUGUUGGGGGACGGCACACCAGCCGCCCCCGAAAUGCAGUGGCGACCCCGCCGCAGCCUCCCCUGCGUAGUAGCACACACCUCGCACCGGAGCGCGGAGGCGGUCACGCCGUAAAACGCCCAACUUUCUUAGAGUUGACCUCGGAUCAGGUAGGAAUACCCGCUGAACUUGAGCAUAUCAAUAAGCGGAGGA